RNAcentral lists this ribosomal RNA (253 nucleotides) under uncultured Bellilinea sp. RNAcentral's name for it is "partial 16S ribosomal RNA". It matches the Rfam family "Bacterial small subunit ribosomal RNA", at positions 524 to 776 of the family's 1533-position model. The record is from RNAcentral. Lineage: Bacteria; Bacillati; Chloroflexota; Anaerolineae; Anaerolineales; Anaerolineaceae.
CACGUAGGAUCCGAGCGUUAUCCGAAUUUACUGGGCGUAAAGCGCGUGCAGGCGGCCAGGUAAGUUGGACGUGAAAUCUCCCGGCUCAACUGGGAGGGGUCGUUCAAGACUGCCUGGCUAGAGGGCGGUAGAGGGAGGUGGAAUUCCCGGUGUAGUGGUGAAAUGCGUAGAUAUCGGGAGGAACACCAGUGGCGAAAGCGGCCUCCUGGGCCGCCCCUGACGCUCAGACGCGAAAGCUAGGGGAGCGAACGGG